Molecule: transfer RNA, 66 nt
Filed under: Trigonopterus kotamobagensis
Lineage: Eukaryota; Metazoa; Arthropoda; Insecta; Coleoptera; Curculionidae
Description: tRNA-Arg
Source: RNAcentral
UAAUAAGAAGCAAACUUUUGCAUUUAGUUUCGACCUAAACAUUGAUACCUGUAUUAUCCUUAUUUU